RNAcentral lists this ribosomal RNA (319 nucleotides) under uncultured Prevotella sp. RNAcentral describes it as "partial 16S ribosomal RNA". Lineage: Bacteria; Pseudomonadati; Bacteroidota; Bacteroidia; Bacteroidales; Prevotellaceae. The record is from RNAcentral.
GGAGUCUGGACCGUGUCUCAGUUCCAGUGUGGGGGACCUUCCUCUCAGAACCCCUACCGAUCGUAGCCACGGUGGGCCGUUACCCCGCCGUCAAGCUAAUCGGACGCAUCCCCAUCCCAUGGCGUCAAACUUUAGUGCUCCUCAGAUGUCCUCAAUGCACAACAUAGGGUGUUAAUCCGCAUUUCUACGGGCUAUGCCCUACCAGGGGGAAGGUUGGAUACGCGUUACUCACCCGUGCGCCGGUCGCCAUCAAGAGUUGCAAGCAACUCCCAUGCUGCCCCUCGACUUGCAUGUGUUAAGCCUGUAGCUAGCGUUCAUC